CUUAGAGUCGGGUUGUUUGGGAAUGCAGCCCUAAGCGGGUGGUAAACUCCWUCCAAGGCUAAAUACCAGCACGAGUCCGAUAGCGAAGAAGUACCGCGAGGGAAGGUUGAAAAGAACUUUGAAGAGAGAGUUCAAGAGUACGUGAAACCGCUGAGAGGCAAACUGGUGGAACUGAAAUGGUCUCGAGGAAUUCAGCCGUUGGUGUUUGUACAGCCGGUGUCGUCUGAUUUAACGACAGCUUCAUCGGUUGACGCUUACGUCAUCGGUGCACUUUCCUCGUUGUGGACCCGACCACGACCGGUGAGCUGCUCUGUCCAUCGUGCUUGGAAGGUAGCGCCGUCUUCGGAAGGCGUGUUAUAGACUUGCGCAUGGAGCAGUACGGCACACUGGACGAUAGUGCCUGCCCAUUGGGCUCAUAUGGUGGUUGUUUUAUUGGCGAGUUCCGAUGUCACUACUUCGGUAGAGGCAUUGGUCUCUGUCAGCAUUAUGACUGUCCGCUAUGAUUGGCGCUGGUAAGUCUGUGGUUGUGAAGUAGGUAGUCCACCUGACCCGUCUUGAAACACGGACCAAGGAGUCUAACAUGUGCGCGAGUCAUUGGGUUCGCGAAACCUAAAGGCGAAGUGAAGGUAAAGAUCUGUUUUGGCAGAUUGAGGUGGGAUGCUGGGUUACGCGCCCAGCCGCACUACCGGCCCGUUCUACAUGUAUCUCAUGGGGGCGGAGCAAGAGCGUACACGUUGGGACCCGAAAGAUGGUGAACUAUGCUUGCGCAGGUCGAAGCCAGAGGAAACUCUGGUGGAGGACCGCAGCGAUUCUGACGUGCAAAUCGAUCGUCAAACGUGAGUAUAGGGGCGAAAGACUAAUCGAACCAUCUAGUAGCUGNGUUCCCUUCGAAGUUUCCCUCAGGAUAGCUGGCACUCGGGAAAUGAAACAGUUUUAUCCGGUAAAGCGAAUGAUUAGAGGUAUUGGGACGAAACUGCUCUCAACCUAUUCUCAAACUU
RNAcentral lists this ribosomal RNA (998 nucleotides) under Pseudoceros rawlinsonae. RNAcentral's name for it is "partial large subunit ribosomal RNA". It matches the Rfam family "Eukaryotic large subunit ribosomal RNA", at positions 258 to 1065 of the family's 3401-position model. The record is from RNAcentral. Lineage: Eukaryota; Metazoa; Platyhelminthes; Polycladida; Pseudocerotidae.